Molecule: ribosomal RNA, 496 nt
Filed under: uncultured bacterium
Lineage: Bacteria
Description: partial 16S ribosomal RNA
Rfam family: Bacterial small subunit ribosomal RNA
Source: RNAcentral
GAUGAACGCUGGCGGCGUGCCUAAUACAUGCAAGUCGAGCGAACAGACGAGGAGCUUGCUCCUUUGACGUUAGCGGCGGACGGGUGAGUAACACGUAGGUAACCUACCUAUAAGACUGGGAUAACUUCGGGAAACCGGAGCUAAUACCGGAUAAUAUUUCGAACCGCAUGGUUCGAUAGUGAAAGAUGGCUUUGCUAUCACUUAUAGAUGGACCUGCGCCGUAUUAGCUAGUUGGUAAGGUAACGGCUUACCAAGGCAACGAUACGUAGCCGACCUGAGAGGGUGAUCGGCCACACUGGAACUGAGACACGGUCCAGACUCCUACGGGAGGCAGCAGUAGGGAAUCUUCCGCAAUGGGCGAAAGCCUGACGGAGCAACGCCGCGUGAGUGAUGAAGGUCUUCGGAUCGUAAAACUCUGUUAUUAGGGAAAACAAACGUGUAAGUAACUGUGCACGUCUUGACGGUACCUAAUCAGAAAGCCACGGCUAACUACGUG